CCUACGGGAGGCAGCAGUGAGGAAUAUUGGUCAAUGGGCGCGAGCCUGAACCAGCCAAGUAGCGUGAAGGAUGACUGCCCUACGGGUUGUAAACUUCUUUUAUAAAGGAAUAAAACGAGGCACGUGUGCAUUUUUGCAUGUACUUUAUGAUUAAGGAUCGGCUAACUCCGUGCCAGCAGCCGCGGUAAUACGGAGGAUCCGAGCGUUAUCCGGCUUUAUUGGGUUUAGGGGUAGCGUAGAUGGGUUGUUAAGUCAGUUGUGAAAGUUUGCGGCUCAACCGUAAAAUUGCAAUUGAUACUGGCAGGCGUGAGUACAGUUGAGGUAGGCGGAAUUCGUGGUGUAGCGGUGAAAUGCUUAGAUAUCACGAAGAACCCCGAUUGCGAAGGCAGCUUACUAAACUGUGACUGACAUUGAUGCUCGAAAGUGUGGGUAUCAAACAGGAUUAGAUACCCCAGUAGUC
RNAcentral lists this ribosomal RNA (460 nucleotides) under uncultured bacterium. RNAcentral's name for it is "partial 16S ribosomal RNA". It matches the Rfam family "Bacterial small subunit ribosomal RNA", at positions 338 to 795 of the family's 1533-position model. The record is from RNAcentral.